CAGUCGCCACGGGAAUACAGAGGGUGCAAGCGUUAAUCGGAAUUACUGGGCGUAAAGCGCGCGUAGGUGGUUCGCCAAGUUGGAUGUGAAAUCCCCGGGCUCAACCUGGGAACUGCAUCCAAAACUGGCGAGCUAGAGUAUGGUAGAGGGUGGUGGAAUUUCCUGUGUAGCGGUGAAAUGCGUAGAUAUAGGAAGGAACAUCAGUGGCGAAGGCGACCACCUGGACUGAUACUGACACUGAGGUGCGAAAGCGUGGGGAGCAAACAGGAUUAGAUACCCGGGUAGUCCCUGUCUCUUAUAC
RNAcentral lists this ribosomal RNA (301 nucleotides) under uncultured bacterium. RNAcentral's name for it is "partial 16S ribosomal RNA". It matches the Rfam family "Bacterial small subunit ribosomal RNA", at positions 509 to 807 of the family's 1533-position model. The record is from RNAcentral.